AUUGAACGCUGGCGGCAGGCUUAACACAUGCAAGUCGAACGGUAGCAGGAGAAAGGUUGCUUUCUUGCUGACGAGUGGCGGACGGGUGAGUAAUGCUUGGGAAUCUGGCUUAUGGAGGGGGAUAACGACGGGAAACUGUCGCUAAUACCGCGUAUUAUCGGAAGAUGAAAGUGCGGGACUGAGAGGCCGCAUGCCAUAGGAUGAGCCCAAGUGGGAUUAGGUAGUUGGUGGGGUAAAGGCCUACCAAGCCUGCGAUCUCUAGCUGGUCUGAGAGGAUGACCAGCCACACUGGAACUGAGACACGGUCCAGACUCCUACGGGAGGCAGCAGUGGGGAAUAUUGCGCAAUGGGGGGAACCCUGACGCAGCCAUGCCGCGUGAAUGAAGAAGGCCUUAGGGUUGUAAAGUUCUUUCGGUAUUGAGGAAGGUUGAUGUGUUAAUAGCACAUCAAAUUGACGUUAAAUACAGAAGAAGCACCGGCUAACUCCGUGCCAGCAGCCGCGGUAAUACGGAGGGUGCGAGCGUUAAU
This 528-nucleotide ribosomal RNA is filed under the name uncultured bacterium. RNAcentral's name for it is "bacterial SSU rRNA". It matches the Rfam family "Bacterial small subunit ribosomal RNA", at positions 28 to 545 of the family's 1533-position model. The record is from RNAcentral.